Molecule: long non-coding RNA, 3014 nt
Filed under: Fragaria vesca (wild strawberry)
Lineage: Eukaryota; Viridiplantae; Streptophyta; Magnoliopsida; Rosales; Rosaceae
Description: long non-coding RNA (FVES_LNC003802)
Source: RNAcentral
UUGGGAUCUGUCAUCAUUGUCAUUGCUGGAUAAAUAAAAUAAAAUAAAUAAAUAAAAAUGGUUUCAAAAAGAAUACUCAAUAGAGUUAUAAUUAAUUGAGAAGGAUAGGAUUGAAUUGUUCUAUGGAAUUCCUUGUUCUAUAGAUAUGAGCUUCUUGACCAACCUAUCCUGGUCUGAUACUUUUCCAAAUUCAGGUCAAGGUCAUGUCGACCAAUAUAAUUCCUAGAUUUGCAAAACUUCAGCAGAUCAAAAAAACAAAACUCAUCAAACCAAACCCUAGCUAGAUCUGUCAUCAUUGACAUUGCUAGCUGGAUUAAAAUGGUUUUAAGACUACUCGAUCAAUAAAGUUAUAAUUGUGACUUGUGAGAGAUAUGAUUCGUUUUCAACACUUUGAAUAAGGUGGUAUGUGUAUUAUUAAUUGAAUUGGUAGCUAAUAUGACACGACCCACCCCAAAUUUCACUCUGAAACCCGGAGUAAGUCGUGCGGGGACCACCUCCAAGGAAAAUUUACUGAAAAAAAAUUAAGCAAAUCUCCCUUGCAGAUGGACAACCCUAACUCGAAAAUUUCAUAUUACACUCUUAAUUCAACACUUCCGAACAUCACAUAAUCAUCCUUCAGAAAUUCUACACAUAAUAUACAAUAAUUCCAAAGUAUUCAGAGCUACUAAACACAAGCGGAAGAAAGAAAACACGAGUAGGUUGAACAGGUAACCUACUGACGAAAACUGGCAGAAAUGCGAGUGACUAUGUCUCGUCUCCUACUAGAUCCAACCCGAACUCUGCAGACUGGGCAAUUUAAAACGAAGGGCCCAGGGGAAAACAUUUAAUAACGUUAGAGUGAGUGGACAAAAAUAAAAUAAUAAAUAUCAUAUUUAUGUUUCCCCAAAUUAAUUUCUAAGGAAAAAUCGAAUGCAUGCCGCAAGCGAUAAAACUUUUAUCCCAUAAAAUAUCGAGCCUCUCAGACUCUAUAAUAUAUGUAUGUAUUUACACUCGUCCAUACUCCCUAUAUAAAUUCAUGGGUCUAUAUAGGGCUACUACGCUCGCGUCCAACGCUCACGUCACGCCUUAAUGCGGUGCUACACUACGCCAUCAAGGUGGACAGACGGGUGUAUAAAUAUAGUGUCCAUACCCCCUAUACUGAAUUAACACUACAAUAGGCUACUACGCUUACGUCCAACGCUCACGUCACACCAUAAUGCGGCUAUAUGCUACGCCAUUAAGGUGGACAGACACAUAUGGCUAGCUAGCAUUUAUAUUACAUACUCUCUCAUAAAAUACAUAUUUAUAUCCACCGAAAAUCCCAUUUUCGGUAACUCUCCAAGAGAAAUAAAAAUCGUCAAAUUUAAAAUGACGUUAAAACACUCCAAGACAUUAAUUGUUCAACCAUGAACUAUAGCAUGCAUUUAUUUAAAAUAAACGUCCACUCACAAAUUAGGCCUAAGCCUGCUGUCGAUCUGGGGUCUCGUCUGCUCGAGCCUCCUCACGUCCUGUACCAAAUAUAAUAUUAAUUUCCCAACCAAUAAUCCAAUAUUUAAUCAAAAUAGGCAAAAUUACCCGAGAGCCAUAAAAAUGCUCAUCAUUGCCUAACUUCGAUAUUCUUAAAUCGGAACGAUCCGAACUUAAAUAUCAUACUCAACAGUCGUAAAUACAACCUCUCCAAAAUACGACUUAAAUCCUACGGCCGGAUUCUACAUUAAUUAACCGCCAAAAAUACCAAACUUCGGAAAUUCACAAACCUAUCCAAAUCUCAUCCAAAAAUUCCAUAAAUCACAUCAAUAUACUCCUCUUAAUAUUCCACACUUAAAACCCUAAAAAUCUCCUAACCGGCGGCGGCCGGAGGUCAAUUCCGGCGACCUCCAAAAUCUAUGAAAUUUUGACAGAAUAAUCCUCUCCUCAAGCUCUACAACUUUCCUAACUAGCACAAACACCAAUUCCAAGCCUAACUAGGGUAAUCGACUAAAAACAUCAAAAACGCCAUAAAACUUCCACCUCAAAUUUCUCCUUACCUAGCUCAAGAGGGAGUGAGUCCUUUUAGGGCAAGGCUGCUGGGUUGGAGGGCUACAAAACCGUACCAAGCUUGCCCGGAUUGGUGGCCGGAGGAGGAAGUUCCGGCGACGUGAUCCCUAACACAGUCGGACCUCUCGGGCCCGAUAUCUCCCUCACGGCGGCGCUAGGGGAGCUGUCACCAGUCCAAGAAGGUUGCUGGGUUGAAGACCGAUCGAUUGGGACCGGUGCGGCGGUCUGGGGCGGCCGGACGGCGGCGAUCUGGCGGUCGGAAAACGGGACAGCGGGAGGGCUCGGGUGCGGGAGCGGGUGAGGAGAGAAAAUCGGGAGGAAAAGAAUGGGUUUGGGCCUCACACCCCAAACCGGUCCAUCACUUAUAAACUAUCCAAAUUCUAAAAUUAAACACCCCGAAAAAUAAUACCCGAAUAAAAAAUUACCUUUUACUAGCUAAAAUUUACCAUUUUUACCGUCGUCGUAUUUUCCUCAUACGAAUAAUCCUCCGCACAUAAUCGUCCCCGAAACCCCUCUAGGGACCAAUUAAACUAUUUACUCAAUGAUCGGGACGGUAAAAUUCUUAUUAUAAUCAGGCUAGUAAAUAAGGUAAAAAUAUAAGGAUCGGGAUGUGACAUAAUACAUAUGAUAUCUGAAAAUGACAUGUACAUACGUAAUAUAGUGGAGUAGCUAGAGACCUGUAAAAUUGAUAUAGCUCCUACCUAGGUAUGAACCCUUCCCCUAUAUAUGAAGCAGAAAAUAACUUUUUUUGGGAUCUGUCAUCAUUAUCAUUGCUAGAUAAAAAUAACUAUUUUUUUGGCAGAUGGCCAAUUGUCAUUAUUGUCAUUGUCAUUAAAAAAUUCAUCAAAGUAUUCCAGAUCGAAUAUCAAAUUCUCUUAUAUUACAUACGUUGAUUUUUUUGUUUUUUUGUUAGGAAGUUCUAGCCAGCCACAACUAGUCUUCUUCUCCUCAAUCCAAAAUUUUUCAAUACUAUGGCGAUGCAAUCACCAGCGCCAAAG